UUGUCUUGUUGGCAGCUAGUGAAUGUGA
RNAcentral lists this non-coding RNA (28 nucleotides) under Rattus norvegicus (Norway rat). Lineage: Eukaryota; Metazoa; Chordata; Mammalia; Rodentia; Muridae. The record is from RNAcentral.